This 254-nucleotide ribosomal RNA is filed under the name uncultured bacterium. RNAcentral's name for it is "partial 16S ribosomal RNA". It matches the Rfam family "Bacterial small subunit ribosomal RNA", at positions 524 to 776 of the family's 1533-position model. The record is from RNAcentral.
UACGAGGGGGGCGAGCGUUUGUUCGGAAUUAUUGGGCGUAAAGGGUGCGUAGGCGGUUUGGUAAGUCUUAUGUGAAAUCUACAGGCUCAACUUGUAGUCUGCAUGAGAAACUGCCGGGCUUGAGUAUGGGAGAGGUGAGUGGAAUUCCUGGUGUAGCGGUGAAAUGCGUAGAUAUCAGGAGGAACACCUGUGGCGAAAGCGGCUCACUGGACCAUAACUGACGCUGAUGCACGAAAGCUAGGGGAGCAAACAGG